ACGCUCGACACCUACGGGAGGCAGCAGUGGGGAAUAUUGGGCAAUGGGCGAAAGCCUGACCCAGCAACGCCGCGUGAGGGAAGAAGGUUUUCGGAUUGUAAACCUCUGUCCUCAGGGACGAAGGACGUGACGGUACCUGAGGAGGAAGCCCCGGCUAACUACGUGCCGGCAGCCGGCGGUAAUCUGAGGCGGGCGUGGACAAGGC
This 205-nucleotide ribosomal RNA is filed under the name uncultured bacterium. RNAcentral's name for it is "partial 16S ribosomal RNA". It matches the Rfam family "Bacterial small subunit ribosomal RNA", at positions 328 to 538 of the family's 1533-position model. The record is from RNAcentral.